RNAcentral lists this long non-coding RNA (837 nucleotides) under Physcomitrium patens. RNAcentral's name for it is "long non-coding RNA (PPAT_LNC003214)". The record is from RNAcentral. Lineage: Eukaryota; Viridiplantae; Streptophyta; Bryopsida; Funariales; Funariaceae.
UUUUUGAGUAAUUACACCAAAUACACAAUCCUCAAGUAAUCCACAACUUCCAAAAUAUGAUAAAAUCUUCUAAAACCUUGUUUAUUCUUAUGUGGAGAUUUUUCCGAACUUCAACACCUUAUAUCUCCUAAUCCGACUGUCCAAACAAACUCAAAUUUUACAUGAGGUACUGAUGUAUUCUUAUUAACUUUUACAACAAAUUUCAACUGCAAAUUCAUUGCAGAUCUUGAGAUAUCUUGAAAACCCUAACAGUUGCUUCAAUCCCUUGUCUUUAUACAUCUGCGUGCAAUUUUUUUCAUAUCUCAUAAAAUAUAAGUUCAAAUUCCACGAAAUUUUUAUGUAUAACUUUUUAACACAAAAACUUAUUUUUUCCAAAAGUUUGAGCUAAAAAUUCAUCCGAAUACGUAAGUUAUGGUUCCAACCAUUACUACAAAUAAAACUGCUUACUUACUGCCUUUGAUUUGGAAGCGCCGCCUUCAACUCCUUACAACUCCUUCAUAUAAACUACAAAAGCAAUAAUUCUUUUGUAAAAGAUGUAGGCCUUGAAAUCGCCGUUCCAGUUGCACCUUUCGAUUUUCAAAAGCUGCUGUAAAACUCCUCGAACUCUCAAAAGAGUAACAGUAUGUCUUAAAUAAACACCUUAACUUCAAAUGGCUAUAACUUUUUCAUCCUAACUCCAAAUCCUCUAAUUUUUGCAUAGAAAUUGUACUCCAAAUCCUAAACUUUACAAUCUUAGCUUGUAAUUUCCAAAUGUCUUCUUUGAAGUUGCCGAAAACCUUCUUAAGGUCGCGGGCAGCCUCCUCAAAGCCCAUUGGGCAUGGUAUUCGACCAAUAGGG